AACGCGAAGAACCUUACCUGGGUUUGACAUGGAUCGGGAGUGCUCAGAGAUGGGUGUGCCUCUUUUGGGGUCGGUUCACAGGUGGUGCAUGGCUGUCGUCAGCUCGUGUCGUGAGAUGUUGGGUUAAGUCCCGCAACGAGCGCAACCCUUGUUCACUGUUGCCAGCACGUUAUGGUGGGGACUCGGUGGAGACCGCCGGGGUCAACUCGGAGGAAGGUGGGGAUGACGUCAAGUCAUCAUGCCCCUUAUGUCCAGGGCUUCACGCAUGCUACAAUGGCUGGUACAGAGAGUGGCGAGCCUGUGAGGGUGAGCGAAUCUCGGAAAGCCGGUCUCAGUUCGGAUUGGGGUCUGCAACUCGACCUCAUGAAGUCGGAGUCGCUAGUAAUCGCAGAUCAGCACG
RNAcentral lists this ribosomal RNA (400 nucleotides) under uncultured Propionibacterium sp. Its description in RNAcentral is "bacterial SSU rRNA". It matches the Rfam family "Bacterial small subunit ribosomal RNA", at positions 958 to 1356 of the family's 1533-position model. Lineage: Bacteria; Bacillati; Actinomycetota; Actinomycetes; Propionibacteriales; Propionibacteriaceae. The record is from RNAcentral.